Molecule: ribosomal RNA, 450 nt
Filed under: uncultured bacterium
Lineage: Bacteria
Description: partial 16S ribosomal RNA
Rfam family: Bacterial small subunit ribosomal RNA
Source: RNAcentral
CCUACGGGGGGCAGCAGUGGGGAAUUUUGGACAAUGGGGGCAACCCUGAUCCAGCCAUGCCGCGUGAGUGAAGAAGGCCUUCGGGUUGUAAAGCUCUUUCGGCCGGGAAGAAAUCGCUCAAGCUAAUACCUUGGGUGGAUGACGGUACCGGAAGAAGAAGCACCGGCUAACUACGUGCCAGCAGCCGCGGUAAUACGCAGGGUGCGAGCGUUAAUCGGAACUAGUGGGGGCGACGCCAUCAGAGGCGGGGGAAAUCCCCGGGCUUAACCUGGGAACUGCGUUUGUGACUGUGGUGCUCGAGUGCGGCAGAGGGGGGUGGAAUUCCACGUGUAGCAGUGAAAUGCGUAGAGAUGUGGAGGAACACCGAUGGCGAAGGCAGCCCCCUGGGUCGACACUGACGCUCAUGCACGAAAGCGUGGGGAGCAAACAGGAUUAGAUACCCCAGUAGUC